GACGAACGCUGGCGGCGUGCUUAACACAUGCAAGUCGAACGGAAAGGCCCUGCUUUUGUGGGGUGCUCGAGUGGCGAACGGGUGAGUAACACGUGAGUAACCUGCCCUUGACUUUGGGAUAACUUCAGGAAACUGGGGCUAAUACCGGAUAGGAGCUCCUGCUGCAUGGUGGGGGUUGGAAAGUUUCGGCGGCUGGGGAUGGACUCGCGGCUUAUCAGCUUGUUGGUGGGGUAGUGGCUUACCAAGGCUUUGACGGGUAGCCGGCCUGAGAGGGUGACCGGCCACAUUGGGACUGAGAUACGGCCCAGACUCCUACGGGAGGGAGCAGUGGGGAAUAUUGCACAAUGGGCGGAAGCCUGAUGCAGCAACGCCGCGUGCGGGAUGACGGCCUUCGGGUUGUAAACCGCUUUCGCCUGUGACGAAGCGUGAGUGACGGUAAUGGGUAAAGAAGCACCGGCUAACUACGUG
This 468-nucleotide ribosomal RNA is filed under the name uncultured bacterium. Its description in RNAcentral is "partial 16S ribosomal RNA". It matches the Rfam family "Bacterial small subunit ribosomal RNA", at positions 28 to 507 of the family's 1533-position model. The record is from RNAcentral.